Molecule: ribosomal RNA, 384 nt
Filed under: uncultured bacterium
Lineage: Bacteria
Description: bacterial SSU rRNA
Rfam family: Bacterial small subunit ribosomal RNA
Source: RNAcentral
GUUGAACGCUGGCGGCAUGCUUUACACAUGCAAGUCGAACGGUAACAGGCCUUCGGGUGCUGACGAGUGGCGAACGGGUGAGUAAUGCAUCGGAACGUGCCCAAUCGUGGGGGAUAACGUAGCGAAAGUUACGCUAAUACCGCAUAAGCCCUGAGGGGGAAAGUGGGGACCGCAAGGCCUCACGCGAAUGGAGCGGCCGAUGUCAGAUUAGCUAGUUGGUGGGGUAAAGGCCCACCAAGGCGACGAUCUGUAGCGGGUCUGAGAGGAUGAUCCGCCACACUGGAACUGAGACACGGUCCAGACUCCUACGGGAGGCAGCAGUGGGGAAUUUUGGACAAUGGGCGCAAGCCUGAUCCAGCCAUGCCGCGUGAGUGAAGAAGGCCU